Molecule: ribosomal RNA, 594 nt
Filed under: uncultured bacterium
Lineage: Bacteria
Description: bacterial SSU rRNA
Rfam family: Bacterial small subunit ribosomal RNA
Source: RNAcentral
UGACGGUAUCAUAUGAAUAAGCACCGGCUAACUCCGUGCCAGCAGCCGCGGUAAUACGGGGGGUGCAAGCGUUACUCGGAAUCACUGGGCGUAAAGAGCAUGUAGGCGGGUGAAUAAGUUGGAAGUGAAAUCCUAUAGCUUAACUAUAGAACUGCUUCCAAAACUGUUCACCUAGAGUAUGGGAGAGGUAGAUGGAAUUUCUGGUGUAGGGGUAAAAUCCGUAGAGAUCAGAAGGAAUACCGAUUGCGAAGGCGAUCUACUGGAACAUUACUGACGCUCAGAUGCGAAAGCGUGGGGAGCAAACAGGAUUAGAUACCCUGGUAGUCCACGCCCUAAACGAUGUACACUAGUUGUUGCUAUACUAGAUAUGGCAGUAAUGCAGUUAACACUUUAAGUGUACCGCCUGGGGAGUACGGUCGCAAGAUUAAAACUCAAAGGAAUAGACGGGGACCCGCACAAGCGGUGGAGCAUGUGGUUUAAUUCGACGAUACGCGAAAAACCUUACCUGGCCUUGACAUAGUAGGAAUCUUUAAGAGAUUAGAGAGUGCUAGCUUGCUAGAACUUACAUACAGGUGCUGCACGGCCGUCGUCAGC